CCGCGGCCGCGAAGGCCGGGCGGCAAGAGGGCCUGAGGAAGGCAGCUGGCGGCGGACAGUUUCCCGAAGGCACACGGGGUCGCGAGACGGCUUCACCGGAAACGCCCGGACUGUAUCGUGUUACAUCGGGUGCCGGGCGGCGGCAAGAGGGCCUGAGGAAGGCAGCUGGCGGCGGACAGUUUCCCGAAGGCACACGGGGUCGCGAGACGGCUUCACCGGAAACGCCCGGACUGUAUCGUGUUACAUCGGGUGUCCGCGGGCGGAAAGACGAGCUUGGGAGGCGGCGGAGGAGGGGCUCACCGAUUCAGGGAGCCGAAGGUCUUGGGGGCGUCCCCCCGAGCGGCGGGGCCAGCCUGCGCGCCGGGCGGAGGGCGCAGGGCGCAGGGCGCAGGGCGGAGGGCGGAGGGCGGAGGGCGGAGGGCGGAGGGGGGCGCAGGGCCGGCGGUGGGGAGGGGCGGGGAGGCGUGUCUGGGGGCGGGGCGGCCGCAUGGAUUCUCUCCGCCUCCGGCACCUGCGUCUCUGGGUGCUUCUGGGGAGGAACCGUGUCCUGGGCUGCGUCCCUCGAGCUCCCCGUGCCUGGGACAUGGUUUCCCUACAGCUCUUCCUCACCUGGCAGAUACUCUGCACCCUGCUUGGCUGUCACUUCUUGCAGAAAGCCUGCCUUAAGGGCCCUGCCGCCCCCGCCCCCAGUCUCGGUAGCGGCCUUCCUACGUAUUUCAUCCCACCCGGUAAUUCAUUUCGAGGGCACCGUUCACCACCCUUUCUGGCAAUCCUUUGUCCCUGCCGCGGAAAUCGGAGAUCAUCGAGUGCGAUGACCCUCAUCAGUGCUUCUCUCUGUAUCCCAGCACCGGUCCGGCGCCCCGCGGGUAGGAGAUGCUCCGCAAAGGUUUGCUCGCUGAAUUAAAGAUGCGCAAGAGGGACUGAAUCAGAGAAGAAGUUAGGAGGCUGCUGGCCCGAUGCGGGGGUGAAGAAGGGAAGAUCUGGCCAGGGGCGGCAGGACACCAGAGAGGAGAGGCGACUGCCGGGGAUGCUCUGGGCGGGCAUCAAGGCCCGUCGAUGCGUUAAGGCCUCUGGCCAAGUUGGGGUAAAGGUUCCCCCUGUGGCGAAGACCGCCGGCUGCCCGCUCAGCCUUUCCCGUCCGCCCUCCUAAGAGAGGUUCCGUGUAGCGGGGGAGUUGAUGUUGCUUUCAUCUGGUCUCAGAAGAGCUAGGCGGUAUCGUGGGUGUAAGACUGAAGCCCCGUCGGUCGUUUCACUCUGCAGCACGGGAAGCCUGAUGGCAGGUGCUGCCCGAGCCCUCCGGAUGCCAGCCCCUGGGCUGAGGGCUCUCCGUGUAUUAGCGCAGUUAAUUCCCUCGAGGGCCGAGGGCCGGUGAGAAAGGGGAUCAUGAUAACAGCUCUCCGCUUCGGGGACUUGUGAAGCUACCCGUGGAAACGACAGGCAUAUGGGAAUCUCGUGAUAAGUGCGCUCUAGGAAAAGUCCCCGCCCGUCGGUCACAUGGAGAGAACAUCCGUUUUACGGUGUUGUGAAGAGUCUUCCCCUGCCCACCCCGGGCAUCCCUGCUUCCCGUCCCACUUUCCCUGGCUUUAUUUUCCUGCCAGCUGCCGAGUCGUUCCGGACGCCCGCGAGCAUCCCACGGCACAGAGAGGACUACAGACACGGCCGUGUGGGCACACAGGCGCACAGUUAGAUUCGCAACUGUACCGACGGUGUUGGCCUAUCUGCUUCUC
Molecule: long non-coding RNA, 1727 nt
Filed under: Equus asinus (donkey)
Lineage: Eukaryota; Metazoa; Chordata; Mammalia; Perissodactyla; Equidae
Description: lncRNA (ENSEASG00005023704.1)
Source: RNAcentral